UGGUAAGAAGAGGAGUCAAACCCCUGUCAAUGGGGCUACGACCCACCGCCUGCACGUUCGGCCAUCUUACC
This 71-nucleotide transfer RNA is filed under the name Liolaemus nigroviridis. Its description in RNAcentral is "tRNA-Tyr". Lineage: Eukaryota; Metazoa; Chordata; Lepidosauria; Squamata. The record is from RNAcentral.